GUGCUCAUGCAGUAAGUGUUUAAGCAUGUGAUUAAGCUCAUUCUUACUCAGUGAAGCAUUUCAGCACAUGCUCUGUGUACUUCACAGUUAGGGGUGAACUUAGCACAUGCUCAGGAGUGCUGGUGGAUCAAGGUCUCUAAGCUUGAAUUUGCAAGUGUUCCAAUGCCAGUGUCUGUGCCAGGUGUCCUGGUGACUUCUCUUGGCUUAUGUUGGAGGGACUCCCUGCUGGCUCUCUGCUCUCCCUUCAGAGCCAGACUGUAUGGCAAAACUUGCUUCAAACUGUUCACCUGAACUGGGUAGGAGCUGUAUCCUGAAUCUGGAAGUGCUUUUAAAGGAACAGAUACAUUUGUAAUUUGUAGUAUUUGAAGUGACUGAGCUAAAACACUGAGAAAUAUGUAAGAGUGAAUGUGCUUGUGCUCUAUAUUGAUAGCAUUUUCUGCAAGCCCCAGAAGUGGGACUCGGGAAGAGGCAACCCUUUGUAUAUGCACUCACUUCUCUCAGAUGUCCAGGUGGAGCUGGAAGAUUGAUGCUGAUAGGAAGGGCUAGGCACACACACACAAAAAGGCUUCUGAGAUCACAGAAUCAUAAAGGAAAAGACUACUGAGAUCAUCCAGUCCAACCAUCAACCCACCCCCACCGUGCCCACUAAUCUAUGUCCAUCAAUACUACAUCUCCAUAGUUCUCCAGGAACGCUGACCCCACCACUUCCCCAGGCAGCCUGUUCCAAUACCUCACCAGAGGUAUUCAGAGAUUUUUUCCUAAUAUCCAGUCAACAUCCGUUCUUGUGCUUAGCUAAUCAUACUUGAGUCUCAGUUUUGGGCUCUGGAACUAGCAAAAGAGUAGGGUCUCUGGGUUACCCAGCCUGGAGAAGAGAACCAUAAAGCACAGAGAAGUUGAUUCUGCUGGGCUUCAAGGAAAGCUAUACUUUGAGCAAACAGUAAAGGCAAGGGAAGGGUUAAAAGUUUGUCUUCUCCUCCCAGACACAUUAUUUACAGUUGGUUGGUUUCCUUUUGGAAGGGACCACUGUAAAAUGAGACGUUCCCAGUGUUUCAGUGGGUUAGACCUGUAUCACAUUACAGUUUUCUUUCCUUGACUCUUGACUGACACCAUUUCCUGAGGUUCUCUUCUCUCAGGAAGGCAAACUCAGGAACGAGUAGGAGUUUGCUGAAAAUCCAGAGCCUUGGAAGGCAGAAAUGCAAUGAUGUCCUUUUCUUUCUAGAAGUAAGGUGUCUUCUGAGAUUCAACGAUGGAACAACACGUAUAGUCAACACAUUACCAUCUUAUGGCACUGUGCAGAACACUCCAAAGCUACCCUGUAUCUGCACAAUUCAUGGAUACCCUGAGAUAUUGUUCUGGUAUCAGGACUGGGAGGUUUGGAUCUAACUCACCCCACCCAAGGCCCAUCACCCAUCGGUGAUUCAGCUGAAGAUGCUCCUGCAGAGAGGUUUGGUGGCCAUGGGUGGGUCUGGAUGAGAGGAACACAAGUGCUGUUCAAAGGUUACCUCCCCAUGGCUGAUAAAUGAUGGUGGUUGGUGCUUCCAGCUGCCAUGGAUGGCUCCUGUCUUGUCCUUGUCUCUUCUUCCUAAUUACCAGUUCUUUUUUAGGUUCCAUGUGAGCUCUGUGAUUUUCUCCUUGCCGCUGCAGAGGCCGUGGGUGCUGCCCAAGGAGAGCAGGUGCUGGGGAAGGGAAGCUCAUGGGCAGAGAGAGCCUGGAGCGAGGAGAUCAGAAGGGGAUCUGCUGGGGAGAGUGGAGCCAAGCUGUUCCUCAUCUCCUGCAUCCAGAUUUUGGACUCUCAGUCAUGAUAUUUGAGGGCUAAAUCCCUGUUACGUGGUUGCUAGCAGAGAAGAGCUGGGCCUCAAGGAUGACUGAAGGGCUGGAGAUGGAUUUGUUCAGCCUGGAGAAGAGAAGGCUCCAGGGGGAUUUCAUUGUGGCUUUCCAGUACCCAACGGGAGGCUACAGAAAAGUUGGGGAGAGACUCUUUGUCGGGCGUUGUCAGGACAAGAGGUAAUGGUUUUAAACUAAAAAGAGGGUAGGUUUAGUUUGGAUAAGACAAAGAAAUUCAUCACAAUGAUGGUGGUGAGGUGCUGGCACAGGCUGCUCAGAGAAGCUGUGGGAUGCACCAUCCCUGGAGGUGCCCAAGGCCAGCCUGAAUGAGGCUUUGGGCAGUCUGAUGUGGUGGGAGUUGUCCCUGCCCAAAGCAGGGGUUGGAACCAGAGAAUCUUUAAGGUUCCUUUCCAACCUAAACCGUUCUGAGAUUCUAUGACUGAUUUGUCACUGCCCAGCCCUGCUGCUCUGCUGAGGCCCUUUUUUUCUGAGACCAAGUGCUGCAGGAGCAUCAGGAGGAAGCACACUCAGAAGUGUUUAUUAUUGUUGUCAAAUGAUAAGUUUCCUUUCUACCCUGGAGAUAUUGAUCUCUGCUGUGGUCCCCACAGCUUCCUUUUUCCUGUAUUGAGGUCUGACACGUCUCUUGAAAGACGGCCUUAGCCAUGGAAGAGGCUUUCAUUGCUGACAUUUUGUUUCAGGCAUGCAUUUCCCCCACGGUCCGGUUACAAAGACCUACUAUGCCCCUGGGUGGGUUGCUUAGACAUAUGGCACUGUGGUGCUCUGAGCCUUCCUCUCUUCCCUCCUCUCUCCCAGUAAAGCAAAAUUGUUCAGCUUUCCUCCUUGGUCCUUUCUCUCUUGUCUGAAGUUGGCCUCUUCUUCAGGCAGCUAGUGACAGAACAAGAGGGAAUGGCCUUAAAUUGCACCAGGGGAGGUUCAGGUUGGAUAUUAGGAAACAUUUAUUCUCAGAAAAAAUUGUGAGGUAUUGGCAUAGCUGCCCAGGGAGGUGGUGGGGUCACCGUCCCUGGAGGUGUUCCAGAGGCAUGGAGAUGUGGCACUGUGGGACAUGGAUUGGUGAGCACGGUGGGGUGGGUUGAUGGUUGGACUGGAUGACUGGGAAUUGUGAAGGUCUUUUCUGACCUUAAUGAUUCUGUGAUUCUCUGAAGUCAUGCAGCUGUGGAGGUGUUCCUUAUGACUUCAGAGCACUUUUGUCUUUGGUCUAAAUGAACUCUGUGGAUCCAUUGCAAACGCAUGAACUAGGAAACGGAUUUAAUGUUUGGGAAACGGUAAGCAGAGGGCUGGACUUUUCUUUUAUUCUGGUGUGUUCUCUCUGCUCUUUUUUCAUUUCUCAACAAAAGCAUCAUAACAUGGGCAGGAAAGACAACAGGAAAGACAAUAAAAUAGAUGAAAAUAAAUCACCAUCCCUACAGGAUAUCACAGAAUCAAUGCUUUAGCACAGGGGAAGAAAACAAAAGGCUCUUUGUCCUGCCAAAGAACACACUGAUAUCAAAAUAAAACCCCAAAGAUUUGACUGAUAUGCAGUUACUGGGGGUAGCAAAAUGGGAAGUGUGAUGCUGGGCAGAAUGUAGCUGGUCCUUGUGCUAAAAAACAGUGCCUCCAUGUGCUGGCUUCACUCUUGUUCUCAUUGACUGAUUCUACAAGACCAUUUUCUUGGUGGUCAGGGCUGCAUUCAGAAACCACUCACGGUGUGCUGAUGAAAAGGCCAAUUUUGUGAGUAAACAUCCUAAUAAGCAGGUCUUGACAGAUGGUUUGUUGCUCGAGCCCCACAUAAACCUACAGCUUGUGUCAGUGUCUCCAACAGAUGUUUCCCUGGAGAACCUCCCAGCAGUGUGCUCAGGAGCUCUCAGCUUUCACAGCACGCCUGGCUGCAUCCCGAGGAGGAGCCCCGGUGCUUGCUCAACACAUUGCAGAGAUGUCUUUGGGAGCAACAGAUUCCAGAAACGUGUUUCUCAUAGCAUUGAUAAAAUCAUGCUCCUGAUGGAGCCUGUUGGUGGCUAAGCAGGGUAAGCAAAGGAGACUGUGCAUAGCAGCUGCUGCUAUCACUUGGUUCAGGAGCAGGGAGGAAUGUUCAGUGCCACGUGAAGCAGAACAAGAAACCUUUUGUAUACUUUAGGUAACCCUCAGUUCUUUUUGUUUUGGUACUAUCUUGUUUCAGACUUUGAAAUAUCUGUCCUCCUUUCCCUAUGUUUUCUAGCAAAUCAGAAAAAAAUGACUUAGCCAAUGAUUCUUAUCAGCGAGUCUCUUCCUUUUCCCCAUUUCCUCUGUUUGUGAGUCUGACAAGCUGGUCUGAGCCCUGGGACCCUACAGUCACUCGCAACAUCAGAUGUGUACUCCUCCACAGAGCAAGUAUUUCCAUUAAGAGCUGGUGGAGAAAUUUCACUGUGUUCUGCUGUCUUGGGUUGCUCACGGGACUGUGUUGUAGUUUCCAUCACCUGUCCUUCAGAUUAGGCAAUUUAGAUGUGACUGAUUUGCAGUGUUUCUGGUGGGCUGUGCAGGGACUUGCAGCUCCCUGCCUCCCCAAGAGCAACAGGAACAGAACUGAGGUUCAGAGGCUGCUGUUGGCUACUGCUGCCCUGCUGAGGUUGGCUGUUGGAAAUGGGCUUAAAGUGAUGGUUCUGGGUGAAAUUAGGCUGAAUUCCUUCCAAAUCAGUAGACAUUUUGCAGAAGAAAUUAUGCACCAGUUUGCAUUCUGUCACAGAAGAGAUGAUCUCUGGAGCACCAGGCCUCUCAGUUCUCCAUCUCUUGUGUUUGCCCCUGAGAUGGUCUAAUAGCUGAGACAUCCCAAUCUGAGAGCUGUGGGAGCACUGAGGUCCCCUCCUGCAAAACAGCUUGUCUGGCAGCAGGCUGCCCUAGGGCCCUGGAAACCUGAAUGGUGGAGGAACCAGAUGGGUGGCCAGGCAGGAAACUCAGCAGGUUUCUGACAUCUGGAGCCCUAUGUGAGUUUCAUGGGAACCUGGGCAAAAUUGACUCACCUUGUUGAGAUUUUGCUGAAUUGGUGAAUUCCUCCGAAAUGCAGUUUUGCCUGAAACCUUCCGAGCAGGUGCAGUAUCUUCAGCUAUCUCCUGGAGAUGAUGACUGUGCGUUCCCCUACGUUUUGCUGCAUGGGUCUUCUGGGAGUCAAGGAAGCACUUGUGUACUGCUGAGCCCUCUGCCAGCCUCCAUGCUCUUGAAGUGGUGUUGAAGAAGGAGGAUAUGGGAAAUUGGCAGAGAUGGGUGAAGGAUGCUGGCAGGUUAUUCUGGCCCUUAGAAAAUCAUUGUCUUCUCCUCAUUACUCUACACCUCAUCCACCGACUCUGUCUUGUCCCGUAGACUAUAAAUUCUCCAUGUUAAAUUAACUCCCCAAGUUGACUAUUUGUUUUCACAGCCUCUAGCUGAGUUUCCUACGUGCUACCCUAAUAUAAACAGUAAUAAAGACAGCUCCGUCCUGCUGCAAACCACUUCUAAGGAUGUUCCUUCUAAUUCUCUUCCUUGUUUAGCGUUGUAUCAUUAAAAGGCAUGAGGUGGUUAAUUGGAGGCUUACAGCUUUUGUGACUGAUGCAAACCAGUGUGUGAGUAAUUGCUCACUGCAAACGCUCAGGUGAACACUUUAAAAGAAAAUGCUUUAAAAGAGGCAGAUGGCCCUGAGCAGAAGGCUCCCUGCAAAAGGUCAGAGGAAAAGGUUAGCGAUAGGGCUGCCCCGAAGCUGGGAAAAAGAACCUAAUACCUGGCCAACUGGUGAAGAGCCUGGCUAGACUGCAGCUUUGUUCCCCAAAGGGGGCUGCUGCUGCGGCAGAGCUCCUACAUCAAAGCUCUCCUAAAAAAAACACAGCAGAGAUCCGUAUCACCCAGCCUGUGGCACUGGAGGGAAAUGGAUUGGUUGACAAGUCAGAGGCCCUUUUUGGGCAGAUGGCUGGGUAGGAGUCACUGGCUGCUUGCAAAAUCUCCGAACCAGCCUUUAAUCUGCGCGUGAUACUGUAUGUUUUAGCGAGCAUUGAGAUGUUUAUCUCGGCUGCAUUAGUCACCAGGAGAGCCUGCUCCCAACCUUUUCUCUUCUGCACCUUCACUGCAGGCUUCUUCCCCCAGUUUUUGGGACAGCUGUGGGCUAAACAGCGUGGGAUUCAUUGGGCUUCCUGUCAUUUCGAUGGGGGACUAUUCAGGAACAAGUUGACUUGGUAGUACUCUGCAGAACAAAUGCAGAACAACACCGUGACUUUGUGUUUGUUGUGGUGGACUUUCAGAGCCUUGCCCAGGAGCCAGUGGUCUGAAAACUCUUAUCGUGCUCCUAAACAAAUAGUUCUGUCUUGAAGACCAUAAGAAUAACAACUACAAAGCUGUGAUUCUCCCAACCUGAUGUUAAGUGCUUUGCGGUGCCAAAGGUAAACGGGAUCAAUCAGUCAUCCUCCUGGGGAUGGUCUGAUGGCAGCCCAUGAAUCAAGCCUGGCUUUAAGGUCACUUUAUCUGCCCCGAGCUGUGCAAGCCGACCAAAUUGGGGUCUUGCUCUGCAUGUGCAAGCUGAAGAGUGCAAGGCUGGGUCUGGCAGUGUGCAUUAAUUAGGUGGAGCCAGUGUAAAUAUAUCUAUUUUGGCGGGCUCUGCAAGAGGAUGACACCUGAGUGUGCGAACUCUGGCCAUCUCUGCUCUCCUACAAAGCUGAUAUAGAGUCAUAGAAUCAUUAGGGUUGGAAAAGACCACUAAAAUCAUCUAGUCCAACUAUCACCACCGUGUCCGCUAAGCUGUGUCAAUAUUGCUGUACUGCAUCUGCUGGAUUGGCCAAACACCUUGAUGCUGCUUUUACUUCUGUGCUUUUGUACCUGUGGAGUAUUUUUGUCUUCUUUUGGCUAUAACAAUAAAGGGCUUAGCUUAGCGGGGAAACAAAACUCCCAGCAACGCCUGUAGAAUGCAGACAGUUUAAUAGUCUGAAGUUUUGCUAAUCCAGACAGUAACAUGAGCUCAGGGUGUUCAGCUGAGGUCCCACUAUAACUUUGCACACCAUCCAGUGAGAUUUAGAGCCUACUAGGUCACGGGCUCUGCACGCAAUUAAAAAGCUCUUUUCCCCAAGGGGUUCACGACACAGAGACAGCAUAUUAUCCUCCCAAUUGGUUUAUUGCAGCAAACUAGGGCACAGAAGUCAGAUUAUCCGGGGGCACGCUAAGACCAUUCAUACGCCGUUGAACUUGGAAGAGGCAUUUUUUUGUGACAUCUGUAUUCAAUCAAUCUGUCGUAAAUUCAGAGUGCCAGAUCCAUUUUCUGGGGCCAUUAAAGUACACAGCGCUUGUGCGAGGCUGCAGCUGCAACGCAAACGUGGGUUUGCGUUCAGAGAAUGAGUUGUGCUACCUCUCACUAUGGCUGUAGAGAACAAGAACCUGGUGGCCCUGGUCUUCUGAAUACACUUGAGCCAACUACAAACUGGACUGUCACCUCCAGCUGUGCCAUAUGCACCUUGGCUAUAUGUGUAAUGCUUGGAUAGACCUUGGCAGGGAGGAGAUUCAUUGCUAGGCAUUACAGAAGUCUUUGCAAAGCCUCUCUCUGUGUGAAGCAGGCUCCUUCCCCAGCCUACCUCUGAAUUUUGGCUUUUAGCUCUCCAACAGCCCGCUGUGGCUGUGGUUCUGACAAUAUGAGAAUGUUGAGAGAAGCCCAGUUCAUCCAAAUGUGUACAGCCACAGCUCAUGCUUUUACAGCAUAUAUUCAGUGAAGCAAUGCCUUUAUCUGCAAUACUUAGUCUUUAUCUACCAUCUUUUCAGUGUAAAGCUUUUUUUGAAACGCAGAUUAAGUAAUAACAGCGUAGGAUAAUUGAGUGCAUUUUUUCACAGUGACUUAAUGAUACUUAUCUAUAGCUACUGAAAAGCAAGGAUAACAUACUGUGUGAGCGCUGUAUUAUCUAGCUUCUGAAACAGACCAAGUUUGGCAUUAGGGCUUAACUAAUUGAAAUACGGCCCCUUGUACUAAAGCCUGUUUGUUUAUAAUAAGCCCUAAUAUGUCUUUCUAAUGGACAUUGCAACGUCAGAAGCACUGAAUGCUGGCUCUGCAACCUGUGAGGUAGUAGUGUACUGAGUGUGGAGGUCAUACCAUGUCACAGCUACACUGGAUGCCUCUCCUGUUAGGUGAGGACAAAACCCAUCUUGCUGCUGGAAGAGCUGACUUUGGGCAUCAUGUUUGUAAUGUGUGUUAGUUUUUUGAUGGCAGGGGAGUUGCAGUUCUGGGCCUGCUCUGCAUCAUGGCUUUUGUGGGUAAUUAGUUGCAGCAGUGUUAUGAGCAGACCUUACAAACCCACUGAGUGAUUUUUUUUCUGAGGGUUGUGGCUUAGUGGGUAUAAUGAUGAUGGGUUGACUAUUGGACUAAAUGAUCUUAGUGGUCUUUUCCAGCCUGAACGGUUCUAUGAUUCCAUGACUUUAUUUGCCUAGGAGUCCUGGUGGAACAAAGUGAUGGGCUGACAUGGAGGUGAAGCUGGACUCCCUUUGAAUCCUACCAAGCAAGGAAGAAAACAUAAAUUACAGCUCCCCCUGAAUCCUCAAACACGUGAGCCUCUUCCACAGCAGGACAGCCUGCACAUCUUCUUGAAAGAAUAGAGGACUGAUGGUAAAACAGUUAUUUUUGAAGUGGAUUACUGUCCAGCGUGGCAUUUUAGUCUUUCUUGCAUUAGUUCAGGCUGAACACAAUGGUGUCUCUGGAUAAUUUUCCACCUGUCUGUUUUGAAUAUCAGAUGGAAGUGUUUAGCUGGUGAACUGGAAUGGUGCCAGAUUUUGCAGGAGCCUUUUCUCUUGAGUUCUGCUGUUUUUGUAACUACUUAGAUGGAAUUAUCCAAGCAUGCUCCAGGCUGGCAUGGGGUAAAUGCUGAGCAACACAACUGGAAUCGGCUCUUCAUAUGUCAACACAAUUCCAUAGUUAAUGUCAAGGAACAAGCUACUGGAGCACAUUUAACUGUAAUUCACAAGUCCUCAAAGGGCCAGAAGGGUAUUUGAUGUUGUACAGACCUGCAGGAUGACCCUGACCCGUCAGCACAGUCAUUCCAGAAACUGAAAAGAAAGUCAUUUGCACCAUUUUGUUGCUGGACUGAGGUGCAGUGUGCAUAAAUGUGCAUGAAAGCUGUAUUGCUGAGCAUGACUGAAAGCGUCUUCCUCUCUUAAGCAUCCUCUAAUAGGAUGGAAGUAGGAUAAUUCAGCCAGGUAAUGCGGAGCUUUGAAGUUAAUGACUCUAUUAGGUAUUUAGCAUAUUCAUGUUGGAGACCUUGGAUAACUGGAAUACCGAAUUUAGGAUUUCUAAUUGACUCAGCUAUUACUUCCUUGUGCUGCUUGGUUGGGGCUGAUCGUGAGGAAAGAGGUAGCAGUGCCAGCUGCUGUUUUCCCUAGUGGAAAACGAACCCGACCAUCCCCAUUCUCACAUGUGGUUGGUAUCUCCACAGUGCAGGAAUUUGUUAGCUUAAAGCUUCUCUCUAAAUGGGUGACAACUCUUCCCUGAUAAGCUGUGGCAGCCCUGCAUGUGAGACCUCAGACACCAAAUAAACAGUGCUGGCAUCAGAUAAUUCUGUUUAGAAUGCCAAAGCCUCAGAAGUAUCCUAUCUUUUGAAAUGCAGUGAUUUUUUUUUUCAUGGGUUGUUUACAUCUUCCUGCAGUGACUUCAUGUCAGCUGUUAGCUCUUCAGUGUCUAUGAAAGAUUAAACCAUUGAUCCUACAAAGCAUGUGCAGGAUUCUGGUCUUUUUUUUUUUUUCCGUAAGCAUUUGGGGAAUGAUUUAUCCGUCAUUCCUC
This is a long non-coding RNA of Gallus gallus (chicken), 9562 nucleotides long. The record is from Ensembl. Lineage: Eukaryota; Metazoa; Chordata; Aves; Galliformes; Phasianidae.